GGGGUUAUAGCUCAGUACUAGAGCACUUGCCUCGCAUAUAUGAGGCCCUGGGUUCAAUCCCCAGUACCAUCA
RNAcentral lists this transfer RNA (72 nucleotides) under Ictidomys tridecemlineatus (thirteen-lined ground squirrel). RNAcentral's name for it is "Spermophilus tridecemlineatus (thirteen-lined ground squirrel) tRNA". It matches the Rfam family "tRNA". From Rfam's summary of the family: Transfer RNA (tRNA) molecules are approximately 80 nucleotides in length. Their secondary structure includes four short double-helical elements and three loops (D, anti-codon, and T loops). The record is from Rfam by way of RNAcentral. Lineage: Eukaryota; Metazoa; Chordata; Mammalia; Rodentia; Sciuridae.